This 253-nucleotide ribosomal RNA is filed under the name uncultured bacterium. Its description in RNAcentral is "partial 16S ribosomal RNA". It matches the Rfam family "Bacterial small subunit ribosomal RNA", at positions 524 to 776 of the family's 1533-position model. The record is from RNAcentral.
UACAGAGGGUGCAAGCGUUAAUCGGAUUUACUGGGCGUAAAGGGUGCGUAGGUGGCUAUUUAAGUCGGAUGUGAAAGCCCGGGGCUCAACCUCGGAAUUGCAUUCGAUACUGAGUGGCUAGAGUUCGGUAGAGGGCGGCGGAAUUUCCGGUGUAGCGGCGAAAUGCGUAGAUAUCGGAAGGAACAUCAAUGGCGAAGGCAGCCCCCUGGGAUCAUAUUGACGCUCAUGCACGAAAGCGUGGGGAGCGAACAGG